AUGGCAACCGCAGGGCUCCAGGGAUUCUGUGACCACGGUCACUAUGGUUCAAGUCCCGCGAGAGGGAUGAACUCCACUCCAGCCCCAGAAAAGGGACAAAACAGCAGCUGCUCGCUCUGGUGGGGAGGAUUUGGGGGAGGGGGGCCAGAGAGCCGGAGCUGGGUGGGAGGGGCGGGCGGGGCCUGCGCUGGGACUCAGAGAAUGUGCUGGCUCUGGGGCCCUGCGCUCCUGCCCUCUGCAAGAACGUGCUGCUGCUGCUGCUAUUGCUCCUCCCUGGGGAGGGGCUGCACCUCCGGGUCCAAGUUCAUGGGUGGGAGAGGCCACUGGGAUUGGCCUUUCGGGGGCAGGUACUGGGGGGGCGGACCCUUGGGGAAGGCCAGAGCACCAGGCCUCAUCAUGGGUAAAAUGGGGAAGCUCGGGCGCAAUCCAGAUGGCUCUACAGCUGACCCUGAAUGGGGAGCAUACCUGGGCUCCUCUGGGUCGGGGGCGGGGGGGACAGGCAGUGCCAUCCCAAGAGCCCUUGAACGUGUAGGGGGUGGGAAGAAAGGUCAGGGGCGCAGCGUUGGGGCUCAGCCUGUUGGCCUUGAAGGUGAAGCAAAGCCCUCUAGAAGCCAGGAAAUACACGGACAGUGCCCUGGAGGUUCCUGGAAGGAACCAGCCCUGCCACACCCUGAUCCAAGCCCCGAGCCUGAGCCUCCGGGAGGCUGGUGUGGCCUCCUGACCCCUCCAGGUGGUAGAGCGGUAGGUCAGAGUUACUUUAGGUUCCUAAAUUCUCAGGGAUGUGUUAUGGCAAUGAUGGGAGCCUGGCCCCGGCGCCCCCCUGGGGCCCACCCCCAGCCCCACCUACCGCUGGGGCCCGGAGCCUCACUGCCCCCCUCCCAGAAUAUAUGCCAAGCCUCAAAUCUGAGGUCUCUGGAAUCACCCAGCCCAGCAGCACCUUCACAGCCGGUGACACGGAGGCUCAGCCCGGCGGUCUGGGCCACACCAAGUGCCUGGGGUUCUGUGGAGCCGCCCCUGCCCCUCGGCCCCCAGGCUCCCUGGCUCCCACCCUGCAGGUGGGUGAGGGCACAGCAGCAGGGGCCAGGAGCCGACCCCUCCUUCCCUGAGCACCCUGAACUAUCCACGUCCCUUCUGUGUCGUCCGAGCCCUCCUUCCAAAGGAGCUGGUGGCCGGGAUUGA
Molecule: long non-coding RNA, 1179 nt
Filed under: Canis lupus familiaris (dog)
Lineage: Eukaryota; Metazoa; Chordata; Mammalia; Carnivora; Canidae
Description: lncRNA (ENSCAFG00040003938.1)
Source: RNAcentral